CCCUUAGAUGUCCGGGGCUGCACGCGCGCUACACUGAAUGAAUCAGCGUGCUAGAAAACCUUGUUUGACAUGGCUAGGUAACCCAUUGAAAAUCAUUCGUGAUUGGGAUCGGGAUUUGCAAAUGUGUCCCUUGAACGAGGAAUUCCCAGUAAGUGCGGGUCAUCAGCUCGCGUUGAUUACGUCCCUGCCCUUUGUACACACCGCCCGUUGCACCUACCGAUUGAAUGGUCCGGUGAAGUCUCCGGACUGAGUACUUUUAGUACUUGGGAAGUUGACUAAACCUUACUAUUUAGAGGAAGGUGAAGUCGUAACA
RNAcentral lists this ribosomal RNA (313 nucleotides) under uncultured eukaryote. RNAcentral's name for it is "partial 18S ribosomal RNA". It matches the Rfam family "Eukaryotic small subunit ribosomal RNA", at positions 1470 to 1796 of the family's 1831-position model. The record is from RNAcentral.